AAAGGAUUAUGUCACUGGAAGUAGUACAGUAUGUGAGUGAUGCUGCGUUUUGCAGUGCUGCUACAUACAGCGCUCCUCUCACUGACCACCAAUGAAAGAGGUGCCCCUUCUGGAAUUGUGGUGUGGGCAUGAUACAUGACCUCAGGGGACCUGCAUGUGGCCUGAGGGCCAUAGUUUGGGGACCCCUGGUCUAGGUUGAGCUGUUGACCAAUGGAGUCAUGCUGACUAGACCAAAAGGAUUAGGGCAAUCUGAGAGCAGUGAUUGCCUUCUGAGAAGGAUGAUGGAGACCACUGAAAACAUCACAGAGAGGGCAGGAAGAAGAAGUGGAAUAUUCAGAAUGAACUUUGCUAACUUCAUGGCUUUUCUGAGGUCUAAAUCUUUGUGGGGAAGAGAUACUUGGAUAUAAUUCCCAUCUCACUGAAGUUACCCAGUUCCUGGAUACCUCUUGUUUUACUAUUAAUGGCUUUAAAAUAUUUUUAUUAUUACCUUAAUAAUGGUCUCAGCCAAUAGCAACAUAUGAAUAAAACAGUAGAAUGAAUAAUAAAAUCC
This 550-nucleotide long non-coding RNA is filed under the name Monodelphis domestica (gray short-tailed opossum). RNAcentral describes it as "lncRNA (ENSMODG00000038471.1)". The record is from RNAcentral. Lineage: Eukaryota; Metazoa; Chordata; Mammalia; Didelphimorphia; Didelphidae.